GAUGAACGCUGGCGGCGUGCCUAAUACAUGCAAGUAGAACGCUGAAGCUUGGUGCUUGCACCGAGCGGAUGAGUUGCGAACGGGUGAGUAACGCGUAGGUAACCUGCCUCUUAGCGGGGGAUAACUAUUGGAAACGAUAGCUAAUACCGCAUAAAAGUCGAUAUCGCAUGAUGUUGAUUUGAAAGGUGCAAUUGCAUCACUAAGAGAUGGACCUGCGUUGUAUUAGCUAGUUGGUGAGGUAACGGCUCACCAAGGCGACGAUACAUAGCCGACCUGAGAGGGUGAUCGGCCACACUGGGACUGAGACACGGCCCGGACUCCUACGGGAGGCAGCAGUAGGGAAUCUUCGGCAAUGGGGGCAACCCUGACCGAGCAACGCCGCGUGAGUGAAGAAGGUUUUCGGAUCGUAAAGCUCUGUUGUAAGAGAAGAACGAGUGUGAGAGUGGAAAGUUCACACUGUGACGGAACUACCAGAAAGGACG
Molecule: ribosomal RNA, 482 nt
Filed under: Streptococcus parasanguinis
Lineage: Bacteria; Bacillati; Bacillota; Bacilli; Lactobacillales; Streptococcaceae
Description: bacterial SSU rRNA
Rfam family: Bacterial small subunit ribosomal RNA
Source: RNAcentral